RNAcentral lists this ribosomal RNA (254 nucleotides) under uncultured bacterium. Its description in RNAcentral is "partial 16S ribosomal RNA". It matches the Rfam family "Bacterial small subunit ribosomal RNA", at positions 524 to 777 of the family's 1533-position model. The record is from RNAcentral.
UACGUAGGGUGCGAGCGUUGUCCGGAAUUAUUGGGCGUAAAGGGCUCGUAGGCGGUUUGUCGCGUCGGGAGUGAAAUCCACUGGCUUAACUGGUGGCUUGCUUUCGAUACGGGCAGACUGGAGGUAUGCAGGGGAGAACGGAAUUCCUGGUGUAGCGGUGAAAUGCGCAGAUAUCAGGAGGAACACCGAUGGCGAAGGCAGAUCUCUGGGCCAUUACUGACGCUGAGGAGCGAAAGCGUGGGGAGCGAACAGGA